RNAcentral lists this transfer RNA (73 nucleotides) under Flavobacterium sp. Its description in RNAcentral is "tRNA-Val". The record is from RNAcentral. Lineage: Bacteria; Pseudomonadati; Bacteroidota; Flavobacteriia; Flavobacteriales; Flavobacteriaceae.
GGGCGAUUAGCUCAGCUGGUUCAGAGCACCUCGUUUACACCGAGGGGGUNNUCGAACCCCUCAUCGCCCACCA